Molecule: ribosomal RNA, 494 nt
Filed under: uncultured bacterium
Lineage: Bacteria
Description: partial 16S ribosomal RNA
Rfam family: Bacterial small subunit ribosomal RNA
Source: RNAcentral
GACGAACGCUGGCGGCGCGCUUAACACAUGCAAGUCGAACGGAAAGGCCUGCUUUCCCUUGUGGAUUGCGGGUACUCGAGUGGCGAACGGGUGAGUAACACGUGAGUGAUCUGCCCCCAACUUGGGUAUAAGCCUGGGAAACUGGGUCUAAUUCCCGAUAGGACUGCAGGGUGGUGCCUGUGGUGGAAAACGAUUUUCUAGUGGUUGGGGAUGAGCUCGCGGCCUAUCAGCUUGUUGGUGGGGUAAUGGCCUACCAAGGCGGCGACGGGUAGCCGGCCUGAGAGGGUGGACGGCCACAUUGGGACUGAGAUACGGCCCAGACUCCUACGGGAGGCAGCAGUGGGGAAUAUUGCACAAUGGGCGGAAGCCUGAUGCAGCGACGCCGCGUGGGGGAUGACGGCCUUCGGGUUGUAAACUCCUUUCGACCGCGAGGAAGCCACCUGGUUGGAGGGGUGGUGACGGUAGUGGUAGAAGAAGCACCGGCUAACUACGUG